AAACGCUCUUUUUGUAGAAUCUGUGAAUUAACAUUUUGGAGCGCACUGAGGCCUAUAGUGAAAAACUGAAAAUCCCACACUAAAAACUAGAAAGAAGCUAUCUGUGAAACUGCUUUGUGACAUGUGCAUUUCACUCACAGAGUUAAAUUCUUUCUGUGAUUCAGCAGGUUGGAAACAUUCUUUUUGGAGAAUCUAGGUAAAGGCAUUUCAGAGCCCACUGAGGACUAUAGUUUAAAACUGAAUAUCCUGCAAUAACCACUAGAAAGAAGCUGCCUGAAAAACUGCUUUGUGGUUGAAAACAUUCUCUUUGUAGAAUCUGAGAAGGAAUAUUUCAGAGCCCACUAAGACCUAUUAUGAAAAACUGAAUACUCCAUGAUAAAAACUAGAAAGAAAGUAUCCAUGAAACUGCUUUUUGAUGAGAGGAUUCAGGUACCAAAUUUAAACCUCUCUUUUCACUCAGAAGGUUUGGAAAACUUUUUUUUGAAGCAUUUGCGAAGAGACAUUUGGUGCCCACUGAGGCCUAUAGUGAAAAACAAAAUAUUCCCUGCAUAAAACUAGAAAGAAGCUAUCUGAGAAACUGCUUUGUCAUAUGUGGAUUCAACUCAAAGAGUUAAGCUUCUUUUGAUUCAGUAGGUUGGAAACACUCUUAUUGUAGCUUAUGUGAAGGGACAUUUUUGAGCCCACUGCAGCCUGUAGUGAAAAACUGAAUAUUCCAUGAUAAAUACUAGAAAGAAGCUGUCUGUGUAACUGCAUUAUGAAGCAUGGAUUAAGUUCAAAGAGUUAAAUCAUUCCUUUGAUUUAGCAGGUUGGAGGCACUUUUUUUUUAGAAUCUGCAAAGGGACAUUUUGGAGGCCACUGAAGCCUACAGUGUAAAACUGAAUAUCCCAUGAUAAAAACUAGAAAAAAAUUAUCUGGGAAACUGUUUUGUGAUACGUGCAUUUCACUCACAGAGUUAAACAUUUCUUUUUAUUCAGCAGGUUAGAAACCCUUUUUUUUUUUAGAAUCUGUGAACGGACAUUUCAGAGCCCACUGAGGCCUAUUGAGAAAAACUGAAUAUCCCAUGAUAAAAACUAGAAUGAAUCUCUCUGUGAAACUGCUUUGUCAUGUGUGCAUUCAGAUCACAGAGUUAAUCCUUUCUUUUGAUUCAGCAGGUAGGAAACACUAUUUUUGUAGAAUCUGCAAAGGGACAUUUUGGAGCCCACUGAGGCCAAUAGUGAGAAAUUGAAUAUCCUGUGAUAAAUACUAGAAAGAAAAAUCUGUUAAACUGCUUGUGAUGUGAGGAUUCAGCACACAGAGUUAAUACUUUCUUCUGAUUUUCCAGGUAGGAAUGAAUCUUUUUGUAGAAUCUGCAAAGGGACAUUCCGAAGGCCACUGAAGCCUAAAGUUUGAAACUGAAUAUCCCACCAUAAAAACUAGAAAAAAUCUCUCUGAGAAACUGCUUUGUGAUAUGUGCAUUCAGCUCACAGGGUUAAACCUUUCUUUUGAUUCAGCUGGUUGGAAAAACUCUUUUUGUAGAAUCUGUGAGGGAACAUUUUGGAGCCCACUGAGGCUUACAGUGAAAAAUUGAAUGUUCUGUGACUAAAACUAAAAAGAAGCUAUCAGUCAGACUGCUUUUGUUGUGUGGAUUCAGAUCACAGAAUAAAGCCUGUCUUUUGAUUCAGCAGGUUGGAAACACUGUAUUUGUAGCAUCUGAGAUGGGACAUUUUGUACCUAAAUGAGGCCCUUAGUGAAAAACAGAAUAUCCCACAAUAAAAACUAGAAAGAAGCUAUCUGUGAAACUUCUUUGUGAUGUGUGUAUUCAUUUCAGAGAGUUAAAGCUUUUUCUUGAUUCAGCAGAUUGGAAACACUCUUUGCAGUAUCAGCAAAGGGACAUUUCAGGGCCCACUGGGUUCAAAUGUCAAAAACUGAAUAUCUUGCAAUAAAAACUAGAAAGAAGCCAUAUGUGAAAUUGCUUUGUGAUGUCUGGAUUCUGCUCACUGAGUUAACCUUUUCUUUUGAUUCAGCAUGUUGAAAACUUUUUUUUGCAGUAUCUGUGAAGAGGCAUUUCAAAGCCAAUUGAGUUCAAAAGUGAAAAACCAAAAAUCACGCAAUAAAAACUAGAAAGAAAUGAUCUGUGAAACUGCAUUGUGAUGUGUGCCUUCCACUCAGAGUAAAACCUAUCUUUUGAUUAAGGAGGCUGUAGACUCUCUUUUUGUAGAAUCUCCAAAGAACCACUUCAUAGCCCACUGAGUCCAAAAGUGAAAAAAAGAAUAUCCCGUGAUAAAAACUAGAAAGAAGCUGAUUGUGAAACUGCUUUCUGAUGUGUGUAUUCUGCUCACAGUGUUAAACUUUACUUUUGAUUCACCAGGUUUAAUACACUCAUUUGUAGAAUCUACAAAGGAUCAUUUCAGAGCAAAGUGAGGCCUAUGAUGCAGAACUGAUCAUCCCACAAUAAAAAGUUGAAAGAACCUAUCUGUGAAACUGCUUUGUGAUGUGUACAUUCAGUUCACAGAGUUUAAUCUUUCUUUUGAUUAAGCAGGUUUGAAACACUCUUUUUGUAGAAUCUCUGAAAGGACAUUUUAGAGCCAACAGGAUAAAAACUUGAAAUAAGCUGUCUGUGAAACUGCUUUGUAAUGUGUGGAGUAAAGUCACAGAGUUAAAACCUUCUUUUGAUUCAGCAGGUUUGAAAUACUCUUUUUUUAGAAUCUGCAAAUGGAUAUUUUGGAGAUGACUUAGUCCUAUAGUGAAAACCUGAAAUAUCCCAUGAUAAAAAACUAGAAAAAACUAUCUGUGAAUCUACUUUGUGGUGUGUAGAUUUAGCUCACUGUGUUGAAGAUUUCUUUUAAUUAAGAAGUUGGAAGAAGGCUUAUUGUAGAAUCUACUAUGGGACAUUUUGGUGCCCAGUUAACCAUAUAGUGAAAAAUCGUGUAUCUUGAGAUAAAAACUGGAAAGAAGUUCUCUGUGAAACUGCUUUGUGAUGUGUGCAUUCAGUUCACGGAGUUAAAUCUGUUUUUUGAAUCAGCAGAUUGGAAACAGUUUUUUGUCAAAUCUGUGAAUAGACAUUUGGGAGGCUACUGAGGCCUGUAGUAAAAAAACGAAUAUCCCGAGAUAAAAAUUAGAAAGAAGUUAUCUGUGAAACUGCUUUUUGAUGUGUGGAUUCAGUUCAGAGUUCAACGUUUCUUUUGUUUCAGCAAGUUGGAAACACCCUUUUUGUAAGUUUGUGAAGAAAUAUUUCAAAGCCCAAUGACACCUUUAUUGAAAAACUGAAUAUCCAUGAUAAGAACUAGAAAAAAGCUAUCUGUGAAACUGCUUUGUAAUGUGUGGAUUCAGCUCACAGAGUUAAACAUUUCUUUUGUUUCAGCAAAUUGGAAGCACUCUUUUUGAAAAAUCUGUGAAGAAAUAUUUUGGAGCCCACUGAUGCCUAUAUUGAAGAAAAGAAUUUCCAUCAACAAAAGCUAGAAAGAAGCUAUCUGUGAAACUCCUUUGUGAUGUGUACAUUCAGAUCACAGAUAUAAACCGUUUUUUGAUUCAGCAGGUUGGAAACACUCUUUCUGUAGAAUCUAUGAGGGGACAUUUCUGAGCCCACUGACACAUUUACUAAAAAAACUAACAUUGUGAGAUAAAAACUAGAAUGAAUCUAUAGGUGAAAUUUCUUUUUGAUGUCUGUAUUCACCUCACAGACUUAAACCUUUCUUUUGAUUCAUUAUUUUGGAAACACUCUUUUUGUAGGUCUGUGAAGGGACAUUUCAGAGGCCACUAAUGCCUAUUGUGAAACAGUGAAUAUCUUGCAAUACAAACUAGAAAGAAGUUAUCUGUGAAAUUAUUUUUUGUUGUGUGAAUUCAGCUCACAGUUAAUCCUUGCUUUUGAUUCAGCAGGUUGGAAACGCUUUUUUUGUAGAAUCUGCAAAUGGAUAUUUUGGAGCCCACUGAGGCUUAUAGUGAAAAACUGUAUAGCCUAUGACAAAACUUUUGAUGAAACCAUGUGUGAAACUACUUUGUGAUGCCUGGAUUCAGCUCACAGACUUAAACCAUACCAUUGAUUCAGAAGGGUGAAAACACUUUUUUUGUUGAAUCUGCGAAAAGACAUUUCAUAGCCGACUGAAGCUGAUAGUGAAAAACAGCAUAUCCCAAGAUUAAAAGUCAAAAUAAGCUCUCUGUGAAACUACUUUGUGAUGGAUGGAUUAAGCUCACAGGGUUAAACCUUUGUUUUGAUUCUGCUGUUUAAAAACACUCUUUUUGUAGAAUAUGUGAAGAGACAUUUUGAAGCCGAUUGAGGACUGUAGUGAAAAACUGAAUAUCCCAAAAUAAAAAUUAGAAAGAAGCUACAUGUAAUACUACUUUGUAACGUGUGGAUUCAUCUCACAAAGUUAAACCUUUCUUUUGAUUCAGCAGUUUGGAAACACUCGUUUUGUAGAAUCUGCGAAGGGACUUUUGGAGCCCAUUGAGGCCUAUAGUGAAAAAAUUAAUAGCCCUAGUUAAAAAACUAGAAAGAUGCUAUCUCUGAAACCACUUAGUGAUGUGUGGAUUUAUCUCACAGAUUUAAACCUUUCUUUUGAUUCAGCAGGUUGGAAACACUCUUUUUGUUCAAUCUGCAAUGGCACAUUUCAGUGCCCAAUGUUGCCUAUAGUGAUAAAAAGGCACUCUUUUUGUAGAAACUGUGAAGGAACAUUUGGGACCUCACUGAGUUCUUACAUGAAAAGCAGAGUAUUCCUCAAUGAAAACUGGAAAGAAUCUAUCUGUGAAACUGCUUUGUGAUGUGUGGUUUCAGCUCACAGAAUUAAAACUUUUUUUUUAUUAUUCAGCUAGUUGAAGCAAUCAUUUUGUAGAUUUAUUUCAGAGCCCACUUACACCUAUAGUGAAAAACUGAAUAUAUUGGAGAAAACUAAAGCAAGCUAUUGUGAAAUUUGUUUGUGAUGUGUGGAUUCAGUUCACUGUGUUAAAACUUUCUUUUGACUCAGGAUGUUGGCAGCACUCUUUUUAUAUAAUCUCCAAAAGGAUAUUUCAGAGCUCAUUGAGGUUAUAGUGAAAAAACGAAUAUCUUAUAAUAAAAACUAGAAAGAAACUAUCUGUUAAACUGCUUUGUGAUGUGAGGAUUCAGCUCACAGAGUUAAAUGUUUCCUUCGAAGAAGUAGGUUGGAAACCUUUUUUUGCAGAAAAUGUGAAGGGACAUUUCCGAGUCCUUUGAAGCCUAUACUGAAUAACCAAAUAUCCCAUGAUAAAAACUAGACAGAAUUUAUUUGUGAAACCGUUUUGUGAUGUGUGCACUCAGCUCACAGAGUUCACAAUUUUCUUAAAUUCAGAGUUAAACGUUUCUUUUGAUUCAUCAGUUUGGAAACACUCUUUUUUAGAAUCUGUGAAGGGUCAUUUCAGAACCCAAUGAGGCCUACAGUGAAAAUUGAAUAUCCCUUGAUUAAAACGAGAAAGACGCUAUCUGUGAAACUGCUUAGAGAUGUGUGGAUUCAGCUCACAGAGUUAAAAUUUGUUUUGAUUCAAUAGGUUGGAAACACUCUUUUUGUAGAAUCAGUGAAGUUACAUUUUGGAGCUCACUGAGACCUAUAAUAAAAAAUGGUAUAACCCAUGAUAAAAACUAGAAUUAAGCUAUCUGUUUUAUUACUUUUUGAUGCAUAAAAACAACUAACAGAGUUAAACUUUUAUUUUAUUUAGUAAAUUGGAACCACUGAUUUUGUAGGAUCUGUGAAGGGACAUUUUGCAGCCUACUGAGUCCUAUAUUGAAAACUGAACAUCCCAUGAAAAAAACUAGAAAGAAGCGAUUGAUGAGAUUUCUUUGUGGUGUGUGCAUUUAGCUCAGAGUAUAACUUUUCUUUUGAUUCAACAGGUUGGAAACACUCUUUUUGUAGAAAGUGUGAAGGGACAUUUCAAAGCCCACUGAGCCCUAAAAUGAAAGAUAAAAUAUCUCAAUAAAAACUAGAAAGAAGGUGUCUGUGAAACUGCUUUGUGAUGUGUGGAUAGAGCUAACAGAGUUAAACCUUUCUUUUCAUUCAGCAAGUUGGAAAUACUCUUUAAGGAGAUACUGUGAAGGGACAUUUCAGAAAAAAACAGAGGUUAAUAUUGAAAAAUUGAAUAUCCCAUGAAGAAAAACUAUCUUUCAAACAGCAUUGUGGUGUGUAUAUUCAGCUCACAGAGUUAAACCUCUCUUUAAAUUCAGCAGAUUGGAAAUAUUUCCAUUGUUUCAGCAGGUAGGAAACACUCUUUUUGUAGAAGCUACAAAGGGACAUUUCAGAGCCCACUGAGACCUAUUAUAAAAAAUUGACUAUCUGACAAUAAAAACUAGAAAUAAGCUAUCAUCUGUGAAACUGCUUUGUAACAUUUGGAUUGAGCUCACAGAAUUAAAACUUUCCCUCGAUUCAGAAGGCUGGAACUACUCUUUUUGUAGAGUCUGCAAUGGAAUAUUUUGGAACCCACUGAGGCCUAUGAAGAAAAACUGAAUAUCCUUGAACAAAAAAUAGUAAGAAGCUUCAGUUAAGCUGAUUUGUGAUGUGUGUAUUCAGCUCACACAUUAAACCUUUCUUCUGAUUUAGUAGGUUAAAAAUACUCUUCUUGUAGCAUCUACAUGGGGACAUUUCAGAGCCCACUGAGUCCAAUAGUGAAAAAAUGAAUAUCCCAUGAUAACUAGAAAGAAGCUAUCUGUGAAACUGCUUUGUGAUGUGUGCAUUCCUCUCACAAAGUUAAAUUUUUCUUUUGAUUCAGCAGAUGGGAAAAACUCUUUUUAUGUAAUGUGUGAGUGGACAUUUCAGACCCCCUGAGAUGAGUAAUGAAAAACAAUAUUCUAUGAUAAAAUCGAGAAAGAAGCUAUCUGUGAAACCGUUUUGUGAUGUGAAGAUUUACCUCACAGAUUGAAACCUUUUUUUGGAUUCAGUGCAUUGGAAACACUCUAUUUGUAGAGUCUGUGAUGGGACAUUUCAGAGCCCACUCACACCUAUCGUGAAAAACCAAAUAUUCUGUGAUAAAAGCUAGAAAGAAGUUACCUGUGAAACUGCUUUGUGAUGUGUGGAUUCAGCUCGGAGAGUUAAACUAUUCUUUUCAUUCAGCAGCAGGUGGAAAACAUUCUUCUUGUAAAAUCUGUGAAAAGACAUUUCAGACACCCCUGAGACCAAUAGUGAAAAACUGUAUAUCCUGUGAUAGAAACAAGAAAGAAGCUAUUUGUGAAAGUGCUUUGAGAUGUGUGGAUUCAGCUCACAGAGUUAAACCUAUCAUUUGAUACAACAGGUUGGAAACCCUCUUCUGACAGUAUCUGCAAAGGUACAUUUCAGAACUCAAUUUGGCCUAAUAGUGAAAAACUGAAUAUUCUGCUAUAAUUAAUAGAAAGAAGCUAUCUUGAAACUGCCUUGUGAUGUGUAAGUUCUGCUCACAGAAAAACUUUUCUUUAGAUUCAGCACAUUAGAAACACUCUUUUUGUAGAAUCUGUGAAUGGACAUUUCUGAGCCUACUGAAACCUAUAGUGAAAACAGAAUAUCUUGUGAUAUAAACUAGAAAGAAGCUAUUUGCAAAACUCCCCUGUGAUGUGAUUGUACAGUUCAAAGAGUUAAAUCUUUCUUUUGUUCAGAAGGUUGGAAGAGCUUUUUUUACAGAAACUGCUUUGGAGCCCACUGAGACCUGUAGUAAAAACUGAAUAUGCCAUCAUAAAAACUAGAAGGAAGCUCUCUGUGAAACUGCUUCCUGAUGUGUGCAUUCAGCGAACAGAGUUAAACCUGUCUUUGGAUUCAGUAGAUUAGAAACACUCUACCGGUAGAAUCUGCGAGGGGACAUUUUGGAGACGUUUGAAGCCUAUAGUGAAAAACAGAAUAUCCCGUGAUAUAAACUAGAAGGAAGCUAUCUGUGAAACUGCUUUGUGAUGUGUGAAUUCAUUUCACAGAGUUAAAACUUUCUUUUGAUUCAGCAGCUUGAAACACUUUAUUUGUAGAAUCUGCGAAUAGACAUUUUGGAGAACACUGACACCUUUAGUGAAAAACAGAACAUCCCGUGAUAAUAACUGGAAAGAAACUAUCUGUUAAACAGUUUUGUGAUAUUUGGAUUCAGUUCACAGAGUUACAUUGUUUUUGAUUCAGCAGGUUGAAUCACUCUUUUAGUGGAAUCUGUGAGUAUGCAUUUCAGAGCCGACUGAGGCCUUUAGUGAAAAACGGAAUAUGUCACAAUAAAAAGUAGAAAGAAUUUAUCUGUAAAACUGCUUUAUGAUGUGUAGAUCGUGCACACAAAGCUAAACUUUUUUUUUUUUUUGAUUCAGUAGAUUGUAAACACUGUUUUUUGUAGAAUCUUCCAAGGGACAUUUGGAGCCAUCUGCGGCCUAUAGUAAAAGACAAAAUACCCCAUGAUAAAAACUAGAAAGAAGCUAUAUGUGAAACUGCUUAGUGAUCAGUGGAUUCAGGUCACAGAGCUAAACCUUUCUUUUGAUUCAGUAGGUUGGAAACCCUCUUAGUAUCUUGGAAGGGACAUUUCAGAGCCCACUAAGGAGUAUAGUGAAAAAACGAAUAUCCCAUGAUAAAACUAGAAAGAAGCUAUCUGUGAAACUGCUUUGUGAGGUGUAGAUUCAACUUACAGAGUUAAACCUUUCUUUUGACUCAGCAACUUGUAAAAACUCUUUUUGUAGAAUCUGGGAAGGAAUAUUUUGGAGCCCACAGAGGCCUACAGUGAAAACAAAAUACCCCGCAGUAAAAACUAGAAGGAAGCUGUCUCUAAAACUACUUUGUGGUUUGUGGGUUUACCUAACAGAGUUAAACCUUUCUUUUGAUUUAGCAGGUUGUAAACACACCUUUUGUAAAAUCUGCAAAUUUACAUUUUGGAGCAAACUGAGUCCUAUAGUGAAAAAACAAAAAAUCCCAUGAUAAAAACUGGAAAGAACCUAUCUGUGAAAACUUGUGAUGUGUGCAUUCAGUUCACAGUGUUAAACUUUUCUUUUGAUUCAGCAGGAUGGAAACAGUCUCUUUGUGCAAUCUGUGAAUGGAUAUUUCUUAGCACAAAGAGGUCUACAGUUAAAAACUGAAAAUCUUGUGAUAAAAACUAGAAAGAAGCUAUCUAUGGAACUGCUUUGUCAGGUGCAGGUUCAACUCACAGAGGUUGGAAACAGUCUUAUUUUCAAAUCUGCGAAGGGACACUUUGAAGGCCACUGAGGCCUAUAGUGAAAAACCAAAUAUCCAAUGAAAACAACUAGGAAGAAUCUACCUGUGAUGUGUGGACUCAGCUCACAAACUUGUACAUUUCUUUUGAUUAGCAGGCUGAAAACACUUUUUUUUAGAGUCUGUGAAUAGACAUUUCGAAGCCCACUGAGGGCUAUGAUGAAAAGCAGAAAGAACCCAUCUGAAACUGCUUUGUGAUGUAUGGAUUCAGCUCACAAAGUUAAACUUUCCUUUUGAUUUUCUGGUUUAGUAAACACACUUUUUGUGGUAUAUGCAAAGGGACAUUUCAGAGCUUUCUGAGGCCUAUAGUGAAAAAGUGAAUAUCCCAUGAUAAAAACCUUAAAGAAGCUAUAUCUGUGAAACUGCUUUGUGAUAUGUGGAUUCAGGUCAAAGAGAUAAACCUUUCUUUUGAUUCAACAGGUUGGAAAAACUCUUUUUGUAGAAUCUGCAAAGGGGCAUUUCAGGGGCCAAAGAUGACUACAGUGUAAAACUGAAUAUCCCCUGAUGCAAACUACAAAGAAACUACCUGUGAAACUGCUUUGUGAUGUGUGCAUUCAGUUCACAUAGUUAAACCUGUCUUUUGAUUCCGCAGGUUGGAAACACUCUUUUUGUAGAGUCUGUGAAAUGCCAUUUUGCAGCCCACUUCAGGCCUAUAGAGAAAAACCAAAUAUCCCGCAAUAAAAACUAGAAAGAAGCUAUCUUUGAAACUGCUUUUGAUGUGUUGAUUCAGCUCACAGAGUUAAACCUUUCUUUUGAUUCAACAGGUUGGAAAAACUCUUUUUGUAGAAUCUGCAAAGAGACAUUUCAGAGCCCAUUGAAACCUAUAGUGAAAAACCAAAUAUCCCG
Molecule: long non-coding RNA, 9956 nt
Filed under: Homo sapiens (human)
Lineage: Eukaryota; Metazoa; Chordata; Mammalia; Primates; Hominidae
Description: HSALNT0136256
Source: RNAcentral